This is a long non-coding RNA of Helianthus annuus (common sunflower), 3837 nucleotides long. RefSeq lists it as uncharacterized. The transcript has 5 exons. Lineage: Eukaryota; Viridiplantae; Streptophyta; Magnoliopsida; Asterales; Asteraceae. The record is from RefSeq and is a predicted model, not a curated record.
UUAAUUACAUUCUAACAUUAUUGAUAGAUCUGUUAGCUAUUCAUAUAUGUUAAUAGAUAAACUGAAUGAACAGUGUUAAACACUGCUCAUUGGAGGAUUUAGGCGGUGAUGAGUCAUCAUCACAUAAACACCUGCCCUAAUUUACCACCAUCGAGUCAUCCAUGAAACCCAAGUCAUACAUAUCUUGAUUGGUUCACAAGGGCGGUGCCUUCAACCCUCCAGUCCAUAUUUAAGGUGGUGAGAAAGAGGUGUCGAUUGAUGAUGGUGGAACGGUUAACGGAGGAGCACCGCCGCCCCUUCCGUCCAUCUUGUCUGAUCGACGCCUAUCCCGUCUUCAAUCUCCUCGGCUGAGCGCCUGUUUAGUGAACACCCGUCGUUGCCGGCGGCCAUUUGAGUCUGAUUCUGGCAGCAACGGCUAUUCCGAUGGAGACCUAUUGUUGCCGGCGGCCAUUUGAGUCUGUUUCUAGCGGCGACGGCCUUCAGAUUUCUCCAUGGUAACCUCUUUUUAUCUCCAUUCUUGAGUUUUAUACUUUUAGAGCUUUUGGUAUAAUGCAUGACUUCUCUAAUUUGAGAACUCUUUGGAUCUGUAAAGCCUAAAGAAUUUCUGGUGUUAAACCCUAAGUCUACUAUGAAUUUCUAGGGGUGGAGUUUCAUUGUUGAUAUCCAGUAAUCUUGAUUAUUGGGUUCUGAAAUAUGAAAUCCGGUGAUCAUGAAGUUGUAAAGGUGGAAUCUUUGCAUGUUAGGAGGUCUUUGUUCCUGAAUGGGGUCUUUGAUUUGUGUUGUAGUCUUUGUAUCUGAAUGGGGAAUUUGAUUGUACCACCGUAUCGAAACCGUAAGUUAGUCUUUGUUUUUGCAACCUCCGUUGCAGCCAUUAUCAACCAAUUGAACUUCACCCGGCCUGUUGGAAUUAAGGGUAUAUGGAACUGAAAGUUAUAUUUGGUCGUUGCGUACCGAGUUCGUUUGCUGGCUAUGAUGACUUUGGUAAAAAAAAAAAAAAGUUGAGGUUUGAUGUUGCAUAGCAAGGAUGGCGAGUGCAGUGUUUGCUACUAGCAACCUGUUAUACAGCUAUGACAACCUCAAUACCUAUUCUGAGCCGUCUAUUACAAGUCAUUUAAAAACCAAAAGGAGUUCCAGUCCCAUAAACGACCUCAUUAAAAUGAGUGAAUCAUUUCCGUUUGAAUGGAUCAGUAAAAAUGGAAAGAAGGGUUUCAUGUAACUUCAGUGACUACAGCUAGCAGUCGUUGGGGUGUUGUGAUGUCAACAAACGCAAGAAUUUUUUACCAGGUAUUGUUAUGUGCUUUUAAUCUUUUAUCGAGCAUAUAAAAGUUAUAGCAUAAUGUUAAAUUUGCAAAUUUGAAUGCAUAUUGUUAAUAUUUUGGUAAGUAACAACAGUGCAUUUGAGUGCAAAGUAAAUUAUGACGAAGAAGAUUAUUAAGGAAGGUGAUGGGUAUGAAGCACCUGUUAAUGGUGAUCAAGUUGAAGGUAAUUUUAUAUUUUUUAACUCGGACUCUUCAUGAGUUGAGCUCGAGUCAGGUGAGCUCAAGCAUGGUUCGAAUUUUCAACCAAGCUGGCUUGAUUCAACCUGGCUUGAAUUUUAAACUGAAUUAACUAUUUGAACUGGCCUCGGCUACUUGCAGACCGGUCACGUGGUCGUGCGGUGACAGGUGACAGAAUCAACCUUCAAUAUCACUGUUCUUACUUCUUUGGUAUGGAUCUUUAUUGUUGUACAUGGAUUAUAAUGUGGAGAAUGAAAUACGACAAGGAGUGGAGAAGUAUUUCAUUGUGAAUUACAUCACACUUGACAUCUUGCGUGCUUUUUUUCACUAUGUUUUUUAAUUAAAUAUGGAUAAUGAAUUGUGAUCCCUAUGGGUCGAGUGGAAAAUAUGAGAACAUAGUCUUGCGUUGACAACAAUUUCAUUGUUCUUGUAGACCACCAGGGACACGUCUUGCAUCGCUUAAACAAAUUUACUACUAGACACGAGUAGUUGUUGACCCGUGAUUUUUCCGCCGCAACGCGCGACGGUCCUGGUUGUUCGUCAGUUGUAGAAAGGGCAUUUAUGAACCAGUGUCCAUUUGGUGGAGAGUGAUUAUAGCUGGAAAACGGGUUGGAUCCGCAAUUUAGUUUUGGGAUUAUUUCGAGAAGAUAUUUUCAAGAGAAUGACACUGCUUGGACGCGCUUUUAGUGUUACCUGAGGCAUGUGACUUUCAUUUCUAUAGCUAUUGACACAGGUCACAACUUAUGCUGGUAUUGCAUGGCUUUUUUUUAUCAAUGACAGCCUGUAAUUGUCAGGAAAUCGUUUUAGUGUGAUUCACGUGUAUGACCCGUUGGCCGUUACCAUCCCGUCCAUUAGUAUGUCAUAUAAGAUUACCAAAAAUGUUUAUCUUUUCAUUUAUAAACAAACGAUUCUGGAGAUCUUAUGCCUUCAAAAUGGACUUUUGGGCGAAUUUCAACCUAUUUUAUUCAUAACUAACUUUUGCCAUAAUUUACCAGUAAUCAAGGUGAAUAAUUUAAUUUAAUUGUCUAUUAUAUAUAAUUUACAUGUUUAUUCCUUCUGAGUACGACUCCCAUACAAUUCUUCGGAGAGCUGGAGUAGCGUAUAUAAAGGGGUGAUAGAAAGCAAACCUAAACGAUGCUUAAAAUAUCUGCAAAAAAUAUGCUUUCACAAUCGAACAUAAUAGAAAAAAUGUUGAGGCAACCUGCUGUUUAAAACCAUCAUAGAAAUGAAUAAUGGAAUCAAGAGAACUGGAGGAGAUUAAAGGCGAAGCGUACAGGUGCUAGAGGAGAUUAAAAGCGAAGCGUACUGAUGCUAUAGGGGAUUAAAGGCGAAGCGUACGAGUGCUAGAAGAGAAGAUGAAAGGUGAAGAGUACGGAUGGGCAAAUAGUAGAAGUCAAGUUUGGGGACUGAAUCAAGAGAACUGGAGCAAUUUCACAGGCCUGGACUUUGGCUAAUGCACCUGGGUUUCUUUUUAUUCUGCUAUAUGGUAUAUUUUUUUUGUUUGGUUUCAUCCUUUAAACCUUUCACCUUUUUGCAGCACUUCGAAAGAAAAUAAAAAGACUUGAUAAGGAUUGUUUUGCUCAUUUUUGAACUUAUUUCGUUUUUUCAUUGGGGAACUUCAUAAGUUAGAGAAUUUGAUUAAAAUGAUGGUUAGUUUACUAUGUGUUCUAAGCGUUUUGCACUUCCAGAUGAGGUUGUUGGGUCGAAGAUCGCACGUAAUGGUUAGAAGAUAUAAUAUGUGGCGGCAGCGGUCAGGUUAUGAGAUCUAAGAGGAAAAGGAGAUUAACGAAGAAGAAAGAAAGAAAAAACGAAAGGAUAAGAAGGUAUACCGAACACAGACAAGCCGCAAGUUCUGAUCGUCUUCUCCGAUCGUCCGGCAGGUCUUGAUCUUUUCGGUGGAUUAGUUUGGAGCCCCGGUGAAACGUACGGGUGAAACAGAGGUUUGCGGUGUCGUCUUCGAUGCGUUUCGAUGUCCGGCGAAGGUUCAACAGUGAGAGAGAGAGAGAGAGAGAGAGAGAGAGUUGCGGCUUCUUUGAAAGAAGGAUAUGUUUGGUAUUCCGGCGACUGGAGGUGCUCUCCGGCAAGGUUGAACGAAGAGGUGUUUUGAAGGUGUGAGGGUGUCAAAAAUAGGUUGUAUGAGUUUGUGGGGCUUGUUAGAUGUUGUUUAUGGAAACGAACUAUGAUAUGGAAACGCGGAAAUAACGUCAAAUCCCGAGAAAUCAGCGAAGUAAAUAGAUGAGGAAGGAAGACAGCGAGUUAUGUGCUGUUGUUGGGCGGCAAAGAUGAAAAGGCUUUGCUCUCUUAUUGGCUUGAUUAUAAUUAGUUUAUUAUUUUUUCUUAA